GACAAUAAUCUGUGUGGGUUUCAUUUUUUUUUUCUCUCUCUAUAGGCCGCAUUGGAAGUUUCUACUUGGAAAUUUAUGCAUUGUUUUCUUUCAGAGGAGUUUAUCAGUAGGCAGAAGCUAGAUGGUGUUCCAGGCCUUGGAAACAUGAUGGAGAGAGCAACAGAGGGGAGUUAUAUCUCGUUUGGAUGUUAUCCUUUGGUGUGUCCUGGAGAGAAGAAAAUCCAGAAAGGAAUACUUCCCAUUCAAGCCAGCAGGAGGACUGGGAAAGUGGUCCUUGACUGGGCAGCUGCUCUCCAGAGACAACUCAUAACUCUGUACUAUAGAAGGAGAACUCUGAAUUUGGGGCACCCUCUUUCACCACCGCUGGACCUCACAACUUACAGGCUGUUUUUCAAGUUAUAGAGACCAGCAUGACUCAAACACAAGAUCUUAUUACAACUAAGAACUACAUAACCACCACACCAUACUUCCUCUAAUAAACAUGUCUGUGGGAGCUAAUACCAGCACAACCCAGAGAAAAAAAUAAAUGAACUAACACCUCCUCCUUGGACCCAUGGCCUCUUCCUGCCUGCUUCUGUAACGUGCUAUUAUUGAUUGGCAAGUCAGAAGGGACACUGGUUCAGCAGCCUGCUGUCUGUGGGAGGAUGACUCCUUUCUCCACCUGGUGUCUUGGUUGACCCCUCAGGAGUUGUGGCUGAAGGUUCAGCAUUGAACAGUUUUGAAUGCCUAGGUUUCGUCCUAGAAUCUCCCUCAAGUCCAGCAGUAAUGAAGCAAUUGCAUGUCCUGCCAUAAUAGAUCUGAAUCAAAGUGAAGCCAAUGUUCUCUUCUUUCCACGGAGCACAGAGCGUACUGGGGUUUAGAUGAAUGAGGAGGCUUUUGUGCAGUGCCCUGAUCAGAGGGCUGGAAGCUCCAUCAUUUGGCAGAGAGCAACUCUAAGUGCUUUCCCUGCGCUGUUUGCCAUUUGCAUUUGAAUUUCGAUUGCUAAGGAUUUUAAGCUUUGUUGGUGAAUUUCUAAUCCUUUCUUUCAAAGUUCCUGCUUCAGCUGAUGUCUUAUUUUUUUAUGCAUUUAGAAUUAAUCCAACAACUGCUAAAAAAAAGCAGAAAGUUGUACUCCUACUAAGUAUUGUGCACAUAGCAUUAGACUCCAGGGGUCUUAGGAUAAACAAGACAUGGAUUUUUGCUCUCAAAUAACUCUUAUAAUGUUUUUUUAAAGGUUCUUUUAAUUCAGAAUGUCACUGUAUUGCCUUAUUAGUCUUAUUUUAUUUAUAGUAUUUAUCAGUAUGGGACUGUAUUAUUUUUACCGAUAUACUUAUUUUCCAUUUCCCCACCAGAAUGAAGCUCUGUGAAGGCAUGGAUCUUGUCUGUUAUGCUCACCACUGUGUUAUCAGACCCAGAAUAGUGCCUGAUGCACUGUAGACAUCCAUAAACAAUGAGUAAUCUAUAGCCAGCAAACAGUGGUACAGUGCAUGCAAUGUACACUGAGUGGUUUGAGAACAUUAUGUCUUUUUUUCUCUAAGGACACUGGUGUAAUGACUGAAUUAGACACUAGUUCACCUUAUACACUUCUGUUUUCUUAAGAGAGACUUUGGAACACGUGUUAAAACCCAUCUGAACCUGCAGUGUUCUAAUGGUUGGAGUGAAUUCUACAAAUUCUCCCUAGAAUCCUUCUUUUAUUUGGGCUGCUAUAACAGAAUCCUAUAGACUAGGUGGCUUAAACAACAAACAUUUAUUUCUCAUACUUCUGGAGGCUGGGAAGUCCAAGAUCAGAGUGCCUGCAGAUUUAUAGUCUAGUGAGAGCUCGCUUCCUGGUUCAUAGAUGGCUUUUUGCUGUCUUCACAUGGCGGAGGGGGUGAGGAAGCUCUUUGGGGCCAUUUUGGGAAAUUCUAUAAUCAGAAUUGGCUUCUGCCUUGCACAUGACUUCUGUGGCAAAAAUUCUGUCUCCUAACCCUCUUCACCCUCUGAGGAAAAUACAUCUUUCCAUGAUUUCUGGUAUUAGAGUAAGAAAAACAUCUGGUAUCAGGUGGUAUGAAUACAUACUCCUGGGCCUUUGAUUUAUAGCCUUGAAUGCACACAGAACAUGCUUAUGCACAAAUGUACAUGCAUAUGUUGUGCGAAUGGGCAGAGGAGUGGGGGUUGCACUCUGUGGAAUUCGAACUGCUAGUUUUUCUGCACUGGGCAUUUCCUGUAUUGGUUGACCCGGAUGGUGAGAAUAUCUUUGGCAUCCAUAAUAGCUUUGACCGCUGAGAAUGUUAACAGUGAGUUUUAUGAACUAUGGCCUUUUCUUGGGACUGUUAAAUGUGUCAAGUUGGGUGUAGUUAAGAGGUAGUCAUAGUAACUUAUUUUUAAGGUCUCUGCAUAUAAGAUGCCUCCAUAGUAUUACGUCAUAUAAAAAUUUCCCCAAGUUCCAGUGUUGACAGAUGGUGCUGCUCUGCAAUAUAAGCAGCAAUGUCCUCACGAGACUAUUGAUUUUGUUUGUGAAAUAUAAAUCCCUAAACAGUGACUGAUGGGCUGGUGAGAAGUGCUUCUUUAAUAAUUCAAUAAUUUCAUUAAAUGAUCUGGUCUUCUGUGAAACAGGAGUGGUGAGAGACCUGGCUGUGGAUUACACUUAAGUCUCAAUAAAAACACGACCGUGAUCUCCUUUGUUCAUGUUUAUUUUUGUUCAUGUUUCUCUAUGUCUUCAAGAUAAAGUGAAGUCCUUCAGCAUACGAAUUCCAAGAAAUAGAGCAAAUGACAUCAAAUUCUUUAGUGUGACUCGCAGCAGCCAUUUUAAGCUCAGUCUGCCCAGAUUCAAAGCAAUGGCUUCGUUCAUUUGCUUACUAGGUAGGCUUGGACAUUGAUUUAUUUUGCCUCUGCUACUUACCUUUCUUUUUUCUUAGUGGGCUGUCAUCUCAAUAGAGAAUGUACUGUUUGUAGGGAGUAGAAGCAAGAUGAUUCCAACACGGAACUUUAUUAUAGCUAAGAAUGUCAUAAUCACC
This is a long non-coding RNA of Ailuropoda melanoleuca (giant panda), 2975 nucleotides long. The record is from Ensembl. NCBI's taxonomy places the organism in Eukaryota, Metazoa, Chordata, Mammalia, Carnivora, Ursidae.